This 232-nucleotide ribosomal RNA is filed under the name uncultured bacterium. Its description in RNAcentral is "partial 16S ribosomal RNA". It matches the Rfam family "Bacterial small subunit ribosomal RNA", at positions 118 to 347 of the family's 1533-position model. The record is from RNAcentral.
UGAGCAACCUACCGAAAUGUGGGGAUAGCCGGCCUAACGGCCGAGUAAUACCGCAUACGCUCUCGAUGAGGCAUUUCAUUGAGAGGAAACCUACGGGACAUUUCGAGGGGCUCGCGGCCUAUCAGCUAGUUGGAGAGGUAACGGCUCACCAAGGCAACGACGGGUAGCUGGUCUGAGAGGAUGGCCAGCCACAUUGGGACUGAGAUACGGCCCAGACCUCCGUACGGGAGCA